Long non-coding RNA from Cottoperca gobio, 353 nucleotides. RefSeq lists it as uncharacterized. The record is from RefSeq and is a predicted model, not a curated record. The transcript has 3 exons. Lineage: Eukaryota; Metazoa; Chordata; Actinopteri; Perciformes; Bovichtidae.
CUCCACUCUACCGUACCCAUACAUCCCAUACACUUUGACUGACAUUCAAUUAAAAGGGUUAGGGAGGAAUCCGGACGCUUGCAGAUGAGGAAGUAAGGGUCCCAUGGAGUUGGAGCCAAUGCCAUCUGACAUUGGGCGAGAGGCGGGGAACAUCCUGGACAGGUCGUCAGUCAAUCACAGGAAAGCAGAGGACGGUGGGGAUAUGACAUGCAACAAAUGUCACAAUGCUGGAAUCGAACCGGGACGUAGUGGUUAAAUGGGCUGUAACCACUCGACUACCAAAGUGCUCCCUAACCUCUUUGUUUUGAAGUUAACUUGUCUCUGGAUAAAAUUAAAAUGCAAAUAAAUACACU